AACGCACAUUGCGCCCCUGGGAAUUCCCAGGGGCAUGCCUGUUCGAGCGUCCGUAACAACCUCUCAAGCCUGGCUUGGUAUUGGGACUCGCUGCCUCGGUGGUGGUCCUCAAAAGCAGUGGCGGGCCCAUGUAACUCUCCGCGUAGUAAUACAUCUCGCGACAGAGAAGCAGCGGGACUUGCCAAAACUCCUUAAUUGCUCAGGCUGACCUCGAAUCAGGUAGGGAUACCCGCUGAACUUAA
This 242-nucleotide unclassified non-coding RNA is filed under the name Typhula sp. RNAcentral's name for it is "partial contains 5.8S ribosomal RNA, internal transcribed spacer 2, and large subunit ribosomal RNA". The record is from RNAcentral. Lineage: Eukaryota; Fungi; Basidiomycota; Agaricomycetes; Agaricales; Typhulaceae.